RNAcentral lists this unclassified non-coding RNA (580 nucleotides) under Hevea brasiliensis (rubber tree). Lineage: Eukaryota; Viridiplantae; Streptophyta; Magnoliopsida; Malpighiales; Euphorbiaceae. The record is from RNAcentral.
ACAGAGGGAUCUAUAUGUACUAUUUUGUGCCUUUUCAUCAUAUUGGUAUUUGAACCUAUGAUCUCUUCGUUAAAAGCCCAAGUUCUAGUCUUUGGGGUAUCCUCUCGUCGACUUUGUUGCCUUCUUGCAUAAUUAAGCAUAUUGCAUGAAGUGAUUCAAAAUUAGUUUCUAAAGCACUAGAAGCUUAUCUCUUUUCAUGUUAUAUCAAUAUCUUGAAAUAUUCUCUUCUUUCUCAAGUGAUCAUACAAGUGGACCAUUGUCUGUUGAAUUUGAUCAAGAGCAGUUGCUUAAUUUGAGAUUAUUGAAAAUGAGAAUCCUAACAAAUGAGCUCUUCUACGGCUUGUUGAUAAGAGACCAACACGAUGUAAUGGAUUUAACUGAGGCUUAUGAAAAUGCUAGAUUUUAAAUGGUUCAAAUAUGAAGCCAUGAAGGAUAAUAUUUUCGCAUUGAUUAUACCUGGUGUCCAAAUUCCAGUAAAAAAAAUUUUGAUGUAGUAGUAGAGUACUAAAAAUAAAUUUUCAGAGGUUAAUUUUAUCUUUAAUAUGAAACUUCAUUAAAAUUCAGGGUGUACAAGUAAUGG